RNAcentral lists this ribosomal RNA (1243 nucleotides) under metagenome. RNAcentral's name for it is "bacterial LSU rRNA". It matches the Rfam family "Bacterial large subunit ribosomal RNA", at positions 1564 to 2818 of the family's 2925-position model. The record is from RNAcentral.
UGAAUACGAGACGCUAAGGCGUCGAAGUAGUGUAUGUCAUACUUCCAAGAAAAGCUUGCACUGUCAUAGAUAAAAAACGCCUGUACCAUAACCGACACAGGUGGGUAGGUAGAGUAUACUAAGGGGCGCGAGAUAACUCUCUCUAAGGAACUCGGCAAAAUAACUCCGUAACUUCGGGAGAAGGAGUGCCUUAUUAUUAAGGCUGCAAUAACAAGAUCCAAGCAACUGUUUAUCAAAAACACAGGUCUCCGCUAAGUCGUAAGACGAUGUAUGGGGGCUGACGCCUGCCCAGUGCCAGAAGGUUAAAGAAGUUGGUUAGCAUUUGCGAAGCUGAUAACUGAAGCCCUGGUGAACGGCGGCCGUAACAAUAACGGUCCUAAGGUAGCGAAAUUCCUUGUCGGGUAAGUUCCGACCCGCACGAAAGGCGUAAUGAUUUGGAUACUGUCUCGGAGAGGGGCACGGUAAAAUAGACUUGUCUGUGAAGAUGCGGACUACCUGCACCAGGACAGAAAGACCCUAUGAAGCUUUACUGUAACUUGAAAUUGAAAUUGGACUUUAUUCGCGCAGCAUAGGUGGGAGGCGUUGAUUAUAAUCUUGUGGGAUUAUUGGAGCCAUCAGUGAGAUACCACUCUUGUAAUGUUAGAUUUCUAACUUUGAAUCAUUAUCUGGUCAAAGAACAGUUUCAGGCGGGCAGUUUGACUGGGGCGGUCGCCUCCUAAACGGUAACGGAGGCGUACAAAGGUUUCCUCUGAACGGUUAGAAAUCGUAUCUAGAGUGUAAAGGCAUAAGGAAGCUUGACUGUGAGACCUACAAGUCGAGCAGGGACGAAAGUCGGUCUUAGUGAUCUGACGGUACUGAGUGGAAAGGCCGUCACUCAACGGAUAAAAGUUACUCUAGGAUAACAGGCUGAUCUCCCCCAAGAGUUCACAUCGACGGGGAGGUUUGGCACCUCGAUGUCGGCUCAUCGCAUCCUGGGGCGGUAGUACGUCCCAAGGGUUGGGCUGUUCGCCCAUGAAAGCGGUACGCGAGCUGGGUUCAGAACGUCGUGAGACAGUUCGGUCCAUAUCCGGUGUAGGCGUUAGAAUAUUGAGAGGAGCCUUCUUUAGUACGAGAGGACCGAGAAGGACAUACCUCUGGUGUACCAGUUAUCGUGCCAACGGUAAACGCUGGGUAGCUAUGUAUGGAGUGGAUAACCGCUGAAAGCAUCUAAGUGGAAGCCCACCUCAAGAUAAGUAUUCUCACC